AUUAUAUUAAAGCAAAACAGCAUACAUUCAAAAAACACCGAAUAGUAGUAGUAUAUCAUUUAAUCACCUUAUUAUCCAACGGAGUUGGUUGAAGCAAUGUAUUCAAGAUACAAAGUAAUUGAAGGAAUGAAUUGAAAGACUUACGUGCUGGCCCCUGCUGCUGUGAAGGCCGGACGGAGACGCCGGCAGGGGCGGCGAGCGAGAUGCGAGGCAGAAUGAGAAAGAGAAGGGCAGAGAGAGAGUGAGAAUUUGGGCUGAGAAUUUCUAGUAUUGUUCUGAAUUUUGUUAGGAAGUUGGGGCUGAGAAGUUUGGGCCAUGGAUUUCAAAUAAUUAUUGGUUUGAAUUAUAAGAACAAGUAUUUUGAUUGGGAGAAUUUUUUAUGUAAUUAUUAAUAAAUUUAAUAAAAAAAACAAAUUAUAGUCAAA
Long non-coding RNA from Salvia miltiorrhiza (redroot sage), 425 nucleotides. RefSeq lists it as uncharacterized. Lineage: Eukaryota; Viridiplantae; Streptophyta; Magnoliopsida; Lamiales; Lamiaceae. The transcript has 2 exons. The record is from RefSeq and is a predicted model, not a curated record.